This 607-nucleotide long non-coding RNA is filed under the name Nicotiana benthamiana. Its description in RNAcentral is "long non-coding RNA (NBEN_LNC007038)". The record is from RNAcentral. Lineage: Eukaryota; Viridiplantae; Streptophyta; Magnoliopsida; Solanales; Solanaceae.
ACCACCAAAAUUACGGCCAUGUUGCUGUCUUAGUAGCAAUAACUGAAGCUCAUUCUCCAUACUAUUCUUCCCCUCUAAAUUCCCAUUUGAAUUUGGUCCUACCAUCUUGUUUUCACAUUAAACUGUAGGAUAAUAUUAUCUUCCCCACUCCUUGUCACUAACCCUAUUCGCCCACAACGAAAAAUCAUAAAAAAUUAAAUAAAAUUAUGAACAGAAUUAUAUCAACGGUAGUACAGAAUUGCAUUCCAAUAAAUAAAUUUACCACAGCAAAUUGAAAAAACAAAAGAGCUCCUUUUACUAUGAAUCUACAUAAAAGAGCGACAAUUUUUACAAUGUAUUCGCACCCAAAUGGAUUUCAAAGAAAAAGAAAUCAAUAGCAGUCUCUACCAACAUUAUAAUCACAUUAUAUAAUGGCAUUAAACACAAUGCUGACACGUAAAGAGAUCGCAUAUGCUUAAUCUUGAAAAAUCAGAUGUAAUUCAAGAAAACCGUAGAUUAUUUGAAAUUAUAAAGAUUAUUGUUUUAAUUAUUUGGGGCUGAGACAAAAAUUACUCACCGGAGAGGGAAGGAGGAAAGGAAGCAAGUGAUGUGAUGCGUUUUGAGCUAG